This is a non-coding RNA of Podarcis lilfordi (Lilford's wall lizard), 75 nucleotides long. Lineage: Eukaryota; Metazoa; Chordata; Lepidosauria; Squamata; Lacertidae. The record is from the annotation of a GenBank genome assembly.
ACCUGGGAUCACUCAGUUGGUAGAGCAUGAGACUCUUAAUCUCAGGGUUGUGGGUUCGAGCCCCAACGUUGGGCA